RNAcentral lists this ribosomal RNA (1573 nucleotides) under human gut metagenome. RNAcentral's name for it is "bacterial LSU rRNA". It matches the Rfam family "Bacterial large subunit ribosomal RNA", at positions 829 to 2488 of the family's 2925-position model. The record is from RNAcentral.
CCAAUCGAACCCGGAGAUAGCUGGUUCUCCCCGAAAUAGCUUUAGGGCUAGCGUUGUAUAUCAUUACCGGAGGUAAAGCACUGAAUGGCCUAGGGCCCUAACGGGUACCGAAGCCUAUCAAACUAAGAAUGCCGGAUAAUGUGAGUACAGCAGUCAGACUAUGGGAGAUAAGUUUCAUGGUCAAAAGGGAAACAGCCCAGACCCACAGCUAAGGUCCCAAAUAUGAUUUAAGUGGAAAACGAUGUGGAGUUGCGAAAACAACCAGGAUGUUGGCUUAGAAGCAGCCACUCAUUCAAAGAGUGCGUAAUAGCUCACUGGUCGAGUGACUCUGCGCGGAAAAUUCAACGGGGCUAAAAUCAUAACCGAAGCUUGGGAUGCAAUUAAUGCAUGGUAGGGGAGCGUUGUGUAAGGGGUGAAGUCACAGCGGAAGCGGUGGUGGACAUUACACAAGUGAGAAUGCCGGAAUGAGUAGCGCGAAUUAUGUGAGAAUCAUAAUGGCCGAAAGUCUAAGGUUUUUGGAGGAAGGUUCGUCCGCUCCAAGUUAGUCGGGAGCUAAGGUGAGGCCGAAAGGCGUAGCCGAUGCACAUACGGUAGAAAUUCCGUAACCGUCGAAGUAUUUAAGCAAAGGGACACUUUGGGAAGGUACAAGCCAGGCGUUGGUAGCCCUGGCCGUAAGGGACUGAAAAUUAGUAGGGAAGUGUACUGGAACAGAGGCGAGAAAAGCUUUGUGUAUAUACAAGACGCCCGUACCGCAAACCGACACAGGUAGAUGGGAAGAGAAUUCUAAGGCCAACGGGAGAAGGGUUGUUAAGGAACUCGGCAAGUUGACCCCGUAACUUCGGAAUAAGGGGUGCUCACGAGAGUGAGCCGCAGAGAAUAGGCCCAGGCAACUGUUUACCAAAAACACAGGUUUGUGCUAAAUCGAAAGAUGACGUAUACGAGCUGACGCCUGCCCGGUGCUGGAAGGUUAAGAGGAGAUGUGCAAGCAUUGAAUCGAAGCCCCAGUAAACGGCGGCCGUAACUAUAACGGUCCUAAGGUAGCGAAAUUCCUUGUCAGGUAAGUUCUGACCCGCACGAAUGGUGUAACGAUCUGGACACUGUCUCAACAACCCGCCCGGCGAAAUUGUAGUACCGGUGAAGAUGCCGGUUACCCGCGACAAGACGGAAAGACCCCAUGGAGCUUUACUGUAGCUUAAUAUUGGAUUUUGAUAUUUCAUGUACAGAAUAGGUGGGAGACUGAGAAGCAGAGGCGUCAGCUUCUGUGGAGUCGCCUUUGGGAUACCACUCUUGAAGUAUUGAAAUUCUAACCUGCGGCCGUGAAACCGGUCGGGGGACAUUGUUAGGUGGGCAGUUUGACUGGGGCGGUCGCCUCCAAAAAGGUAUCGGAGGCGCUCAAAGGUUCGCUCAGCAUGGACGGAAACCAUGCCCUUGAGUGUAAACGCAUAAGCGAGCCUAACUGCGAGACGGACAGGUCGAGCAGUAACGAAAGUUGGAGUUAGUGAUCCGGCGGUAUGUGAGUGGAAAUGCCGUCGCUCAACGGAUAAAAGCUACCCUGGGGAUAACAGGCUGAUCU